GCAGGACUGUGUCCAACAGCGUUCCUGUGGCUCAGGACAGUGUGACCCAGUGACUGGCGGGUGCCAGUGUCCACCUAGCCAGAUGGGAGCCAGGUGUCAGCAAGGAUGUCCCCAAACAAUGUAUGGCCCAAAUUGUGAGCUAAAAAGUACCUGUAAAGAUGGUGGACUUUGCAGUCCUGUAGAUGGAAGCUGUACCUGUGGUCUUGGAUGGACAGGAAAUUACCGUGAAAAAGAGAGAGAGACCACCAGUGGAAGAAGUAGAGGGAAAGGAAGAGAGAGAGAAUCUCGAUCAGACUCCACACUGAGUAUGGAACCUGAUGUGGGGCACAAUCCCAGGACCCCAAGAUCAUGACUUGCUGAAACAGAUUUGGAGCUUAAGUGACUGCACCA
RNA transcript from Ailuropoda melanoleuca (giant panda), 390 nucleotides. RefSeq lists it as uncharacterized. Lineage: Eukaryota; Metazoa; Chordata; Mammalia; Carnivora; Ursidae. The transcript has 3 exons. The record is from RefSeq and is a predicted model, not a curated record.